This 711-nucleotide ribosomal RNA is filed under the name uncultured bacterium. RNAcentral's name for it is "bacterial SSU rRNA". It matches the Rfam family "Bacterial small subunit ribosomal RNA", at positions 102 to 808 of the family's 1533-position model. The record is from RNAcentral.
ACGGGUGAGUAAUGCAUCGGAACGUACCGAGUAAUGGGGGAUAACUAUCCGAAAGGAUAGCUAAUACCGCAUACGCUUUGAGAAGGAAAGUGGGGGCUCUUCGGACCUCACGUUAUUCGAGCGGCCGAUGUCUGAUUAGCUAGUUGGUGGGGUAAAGGCCUACCAAGGCGACGAUCAGUAGCGGGUCUGAGAGGAUGAUCCGCCACACUGGGACUGAGACACGGCCCAGACUCCUACGGGAGGCAGCAGUGGGGAAUUUUGGACAAUGGGCGCAAGCCUGAUCCAGCCAUGCCGCGUGUCUGAAGAAGGCCUUCGGGUUGUAAAGGACUUUUGUUAGGGAAGAAAAGGAUAGUGUUAAUACCAUUAUCUGCUGACGGUACCUAAAGAAUAAGCACCGGCUAACUACGUGCCAGCAGCCGCGGUAAUACGUAGGGUGCGAGCGUUAAUCGGAAUUACUGGGCGUAAAGCGAGCGCAGACGGUUUAUUAAGCAAGAUGUGAAAUCCCCGAGCUUAACUUGGGAACUGCGUUUUGAACUGGUAAGCUAGAGUAUGUCAGAGGGGGGUAGAAUUCCACGUGUAGCAGUGAAAUGCGUAGAGAUGUGGAGGAAUACCGAUGGCGAAGGCAGCCCCCUGGGAUAAUACUGACGUUCAUGCUCGAAAGCGUGGGGUAGCAAACAGGAUUAGAUACCCUGGUAGUCCACGCCCUAAACG